RNAcentral lists this ribosomal RNA (449 nucleotides) under uncultured bacterium. RNAcentral's name for it is "bacterial SSU rRNA". It matches the Rfam family "Bacterial small subunit ribosomal RNA", at positions 28 to 505 of the family's 1533-position model. The record is from RNAcentral.
GAUGAACGCUGGCGGCGUGUCUAAGGCAUGCAAGUCGAACGAGGUCUUCGGACCUAGUGGCAAACGGGUGAGUAACACGUUGGUAACCUACCUUUCGGCCAGGGAUAACGGGAAGAAAUUCCCGCUAAUACCUGAUAGUCUCCCAUCCCUUAUGGGUUUGGGAGUAAAGAUUUAUCACCGGAAGAGGGGCCUACGGACUAUCAGCUUGUUGGUGAGGUAAUGGCUCACCAAGGCUAUGACGGUUAGCUGGUCUGAGAGGAUGACCAGUCACAUUGGGACUGAGACACUGCCCAAACUCCUACGGGAGGCUGCAGUCGAGAAUCUUCCACAAUGGGGGCAACCCUGAUGGAGCGACGCCGCGUGCAGGAUGACGGCCUUCGGGUUGUAAACUGCUUUUAUAUGGGAACAAAUUUUGAGCUUACCAUAUGAAUAAGCACCGACUAACCACG